AAAACAUGUCCUUUAGUGUUAAUUAAAAUUAAAGGUCUGGCCUGCCCGGUGAUUUUUUAAACGGCCGCAGUAUUCUGACUGUGCGAAGGUAGCAUAAUCAUUUGUCUUUUAAUUGAAGGCUUGUAUGAAUGGUUGGACGAGGAAUUGACUAUUUUUAUUUAAAUUUUAUGAAUUUAAUUUUUUAGUUAAAAAGCUUAAAUAUAUUUGCAAGACGAGAAGACCCUAUAGAAUUUUAUUAUUUACAUUUAAUUUAUUUUUUUUGUUUAUAGUUAAGUUUGUUUAAUGUAAUUAAUUUUGUUGGGGCGACAGUGAAAAUUAAUUAACUUUCAUUAUUUAUAAUUCAUUAAUUUAUGUUUUACUUGAUCCUUAAUUUUAGGAUUAUAAGAUUAAAUUACCUUAGGGAUAACAGCGUAAUUUCUUUGGCGAGUUCAUAUCGAUGAAGAAGUUUGCGACCUCGAUGUUGGAUUAAAGUUAGUCUUUGGUGCAGGAGCUAUAAGAC
This 499-nucleotide ribosomal RNA is filed under the name Chariesterus armatus. RNAcentral's name for it is "partial 16S ribosomal RNA". It matches the Rfam family "Bacterial large subunit ribosomal RNA", at positions 1810 to 2571 of the family's 2925-position model. The record is from RNAcentral. Lineage: Eukaryota; Metazoa; Arthropoda; Insecta; Hemiptera; Coreidae.